RNAcentral lists this transfer RNA (65 nucleotides) under Sanaa intermedia. RNAcentral describes it as "tRNA-Trp". The record is from RNAcentral. Lineage: Eukaryota; Metazoa; Arthropoda; Insecta; Orthoptera; Tettigoniidae.
AAGGUUUUAAGUUAAUAAAACUAAUAGCCUUCAAAGCUAAAAAUAAAUACUAAAUUUAAACCUUA